GACGAACGCUGGCGGCGUGCCUAAUACAUGCAAGUAGAACGCUGAAGGAGGAGCUUGCUUCUCUGGAUGAGUUGCGAACGGGUGAGUAACGCGUAGGUAACCUGCCUGGUAGCGGGGGAUAACUAUUGGAAACGAUAGCUAAUACCGCAUAAUAGUAGAUGUUGCAUGACAUUUGCUUAAAAGGUGCAAUUGCAUCACUACCAGAUGGACCUGCGUUGUAUUAGCUAGUUGGUGGGGUAACGGCUCACCAAGGCGACGAUACAUAGCCGACCUGAGAGGGUGAUCGGCCACACUGGGACUGAGACACGGCCCAGACUCCUACGGGAGGCAGCAGUAGGGAAUCUUCGGCAAUGGACGGAAGUCUGACCGAGCAACGCCGCGUGAGUGAAGAAGGUUUUCGGAUCGUAAAGCUCUGUUGUAAGAGAAGAACGAGUGUAAGAGUGGAAAGUUCACACUGUGACG
Molecule: ribosomal RNA, 462 nt
Filed under: Streptococcus mitis
Lineage: Bacteria; Bacillati; Bacillota; Bacilli; Lactobacillales; Streptococcaceae
Description: bacterial SSU rRNA
Rfam family: Bacterial small subunit ribosomal RNA
Source: RNAcentral